ACCCGUGAUGAAGAAAUUAGAUCCAACUCCCAGGCCAGUUGAUACGUCUUCUGGUUCAUGCAGAUAAAGGCGAACGAACGGG
Molecule: unclassified non-coding RNA, 82 nt
Filed under: Caenorhabditis elegans
Lineage: Eukaryota; Metazoa; Nematoda; Chromadorea; Rhabditida; Rhabditidae
Description: CeN29
Source: RNAcentral